Aegilops tauschii subsp. strangulata is the source of this 2288-nucleotide non-coding RNA. The record is from RefSeq and is a predicted model, not a curated record. Lineage: Eukaryota; Viridiplantae; Streptophyta; Magnoliopsida; Poales; Poaceae.
UUGACACCGACACUCGCGUGUCACCUAAUCGCCCCGUCUCUCACGAAUAUAAUAGCUAGGCGGAGCGGACAGAGCCAACCACGCGGGAGGCGGCGGCGACGGAGGGACUGAGGAAGAGAGCCGUGUCCGGCGGCCUGGAGCGUCCUGACGGCCGCAGCGGGGAUGGCCCAUGCCCGCCGAUCUGCUCGUCAACUACGACCUUCCUCCUCCAGGAAAACUCUAGGGCCUUUUCCCAAAUAGAUUGGAGAGUGCCGGGAAGGGCGGCGACCGCAACUACAACCUACGGCGGAGGAGAAACUAACCGCGAGCGACGGAGAACUGGCGGUGCUGCUCAUGCUCGACUCAGCGGUGCUCUCGGUGCACCACCGAUGGGUGAUGAUGCUUGAGCUAAGAACUCUGUGCUCAGAGCCACCGGUGGCGGCUGAGUAAGGGCACUGGUGCGGUGGAGGUACAUCUCCUCCCUUUAUUCAUCCCUCCCUCUCUCCCUGCCCCCUCCCUCUCUCUUCCCCAGUGGGAUCGCCGUGAGCCCGUGACCGUGGACCGGCCGGGUGGGACUCCAGCGGCGAGGAACGGAGAGCACCGGUGCUCUGUUGGCGAAUGCAUGUUGCGGGUACAGGGAGACCUUCGGCAAUGGGAAAUGGAUAGAGCUUUGGCAGAUAACCCUGUUCUCAUGUGAACAAAAUUUCAUCUCUCUUGAAUUUUUGUGUGCAAAUAGCAGAGGAACACCGCUGCUGACAGGAUUCUUAUGACUACCAGCAGAUCAACCCUUCUCAUGCGUUUGUUGCCAAGGAUAUGCAUGCAGCGAAGUGGAGGUUCCGCCAUUUUAAGAGGUGGGAUUAAUGUUGUUGUACUGCUUGAUUAGGAGUAUGCAACACUAUAUUUUGAUGUAUACUACAGUAUUAUUUUGUUGCUGGUAAACAUUAUUUCCAUCUAAUGUUUUAUUCAGAGGCAAAGAAAAUUAUGCUAACAAGGAGUUUAUUUUGUCGGUUUUUAAAUGGAGCACAAAUAUAAGACAUGUUCUUCAUCAACGAUAGGAAUUUUAAUAUGUAAAGGUCAGUAAAAAAGAAUGCACAUAAAAUGCUACUCUUUUUUUAGUUGGUAACAUUGUAUACAGAAUUUGAAUCUAAAUUAUUGGAAUUCAUUGUUCCAUAUUGGAAGUUCCUCAAGAGCUUGAAUAAUCCAAUUUGCGGUUCAAGAUAUACCCUAAUUUCUUUCUUUCUUUGGAUUCCGGUGGACAUGUCAUAGGUGUAGAUGGGCUUGACCAAGCCAUGAAAUCAACUUCAUUUAUGCACAAGUUUUUUAGUAGAUAUUUUGUCAACAUAUGAAUGGUGCUUGCUUCUUGCGUCCAAAGAUGAUUCACUCCUUUGUUGCUUCAAAUUAGGCUCGAACCAACCAUGCCUACAGUGAACACAUCAUAAUUAUGAGAUGAUUUUAUUGUGUUCAAUUGAUUUUCAUAAUAGGCUGUUUGGCAUUGUUGUUGCUAAUUUCUCUGACCCUGAUUUUUAUAGCAUGCCAUUUUACACCGUCGGCCUCGCGAACCAACCGUACCUACAGUAAGCACAUCGCUGUUAUUGGCUGAAUUUUUUUGUAUUCCAUUGAUUUUCAUAACAUGCUGUUAUUUUGCUAAUUUCUUUGACAUUGAUUUUCAUACCAUGUUGUUUCACACCGUCGGCCUCGCCAUACUCAGCCAGGUUGCCACGGGAAGGCGUCAGGAGUUCCAUACGAACGGGUUGACUAUGGGUGUGGGCAUGGGUACCUCAGAGAAGGGCUCCACUCUUUCAGACCUAAGUAUUCUUUACCUAAUAAAAGAUCCAUGCAUGCACUGCUAUAUAUUUGGUUUAACUCAUAUUACAAGUAUGCAUCUACAUAUGUUCCCAAACCAGUGAACCCCUUCCUGUGUGUGAAGAUUAUGCAUGCCUUUCACAUUGCCGCUGCCCAUUGCCCGUUGGUACCUGCCUCGGAUGGUUUCACCAUUGCCAAACCUAUUGUAGUCGUGCACAACAUACUUCACUGAAAUCUUCGUAGCUUUGUGGAAUUUUGCUGAAACCAAUGUUACUAUUUGAGCAUUGGGAGUGAAGUUAUUCUCUUCCUAUGAUGUACACGCUAGAGACGUUUGAUGAAAGGAAAUUCUAUCAUGAUCUUUUAUAGAGCUACAAAUGAAUCUUUACCAAAGUUUUUAUGUAGGCAAUUGUUUGCUCUGCUUGAAACUGUAAGGUCGGUAUUUUGAUUUGUUUUUUUCUUCUUAACUGCAGAUUUGUCACCAACUAUUACGUACAUAUAUUGUGUUA